CGUCACGCACGACUGUGUUGUGUAUUGCAAAUGAGAAAGACCCGUCACAUUACUCUCUUCACAAUCGCGUCUCACUCCCAAACCCUCUUCGCGUAGUGUAGUAAAUAUAUCGCCAUGGGAUUCAGUGAUAAGCACAAUAAUGCUGAUGGAAAAGACCCGGAUUUUGGUGCAAUCUUUAUUUCGAAUAGUGACACAAAGAGAGAAAGCUUCCGGAGGGGAUUAUUUGGCCUUCUGUCAACUGAAAUCCAGUUUGUAGAGAAGGUUAAAGCCUGAAUGAUUUUAUUCUUAUUUGAAUAUGAGAAGAGACAACUUCACGGUGUGUUUAAGGCUUCCUGUGAUGGGGCUAUAAAUAUUGUGCCUAAUGCCUUUGCAGCAGUGGGGAAGCAAUACCUGCUCAGGCAUAAUGGGCAAAAAUAAGUGGUGCGAGUUAAAGCACCGCUAUAAUGUUGCCGAGAUAGAGGUCCCAAAGCCUUAGGAGGAGGAGAUUUCCCACUUGAAGAUCAACCGAAAAAGAAAGAGGGGCGAGAAAGAGGUCCGGGGGUCCUCUGCCCCUCGCGGCACGGAGGAGGUGACUUCCAAGGCUGCGGAUGCCGACGCAGUCGACCUCACCGGGAGCCCUCCGCCUGGGGAGGUUCCCCAAGUGGUUGUUGUGGAGACUGCUGAGCAGGCUGUUCCCUC
Molecule: long non-coding RNA, 678 nt
Organism: Cajanus cajan (pigeon pea)
Lineage: Eukaryota; Viridiplantae; Streptophyta; Magnoliopsida; Fabales; Fabaceae
Source: RefSeq, a predicted model, not a curated record